GACGAACGCUGGCGGCGUGCCUAAUACAUGCAAGUAGAACGCUGAAGGAGGAGCUUGCUUCUCUGGAUGAGUUGCGAACGGGUGAGUAACGCGUAGGUAACCUGCCUGGUAGCGGGGGAUAACUAUUGGAAACGAUAGCUAAUACCGCAUAAGAGUAGAUGUCGCAUGACAUUUGCUUAAAAGGUGCAAUUGCAUCACUACCAGAUGGACCUGCGUUGUAUUAGCUAGUUGGUGAGGUAACGGCUCACCAAGGCAACGAUACAUAGCCGACCUGAGAGGGUGAUCGGCCACACUGGGACUGAGACACGGCCCAGACUCCUACGGGAGGCAGCAGUAGGGAAUCUUCGGCAAUGGACGGAAGUCUGACCGAGCAACGCCGCGUGAGUGAAGAAGGUUUUCGGAUCGUAAAGCUCUGUUGUAAGAGAAGAACGAGUGUGAGAGUGGAAAGUUCACACUGUGACGGUAUCUUACCAGAAAGGGACGGCGAACUACGU
RNAcentral lists this ribosomal RNA (494 nucleotides) under uncultured bacterium. RNAcentral describes it as "partial 16S ribosomal RNA". It matches the Rfam family "Bacterial small subunit ribosomal RNA", at positions 28 to 506 of the family's 1533-position model. The record is from RNAcentral.